AAGUCGUAACAAGGUUUCCGUAGGUGAACCUGCGGAAGGAUCAUUAAAGUUUGCUUAAUUGCAUCACACAUGUUUUUUUAGAGAACUUGCUUGCAAGAACACUAAUAAUUUACUUAGUCAACCGAUAAAAAUAUCAAAACUUUCAACAACGGAUCUCUUGGUUCUC
Molecule: unclassified non-coding RNA, 166 nt
Filed under: air metagenome
Description: partial contains small subunit ribosomal RNA, internal transcribed spacer 1, and 5.8S ribosomal RNA
Rfam family: Eukaryotic small subunit ribosomal RNA (bases 1-46)
Source: RNAcentral